UCUCCACAAUUACGUGGUAGGAUACGCAACCCUAUGAUCCGGCCCUCAUUGAGGAGGAGACACGUUUCUCUCCAAAAUGGCGACAACCGGGUAAAUGACUUGCCUCUACCUCUCCACAGUUACGUGGUAGGAUACGCAAGCAUCAUCCGAUCCUCAUGGAGGAGGAGACAUGAUCUCUCUAAAAUGGCGAUAACCGUGUUCAUGUCUUGCAUCUACCUCUCCACGGUAACGUGGUUAGGAUAUGCAACCCUAUGACCCGGCCCUCAUGGAGGAUGAGCAAUGCCCGCACAAAAUCGACAACUGGCUCGGCUGUUGCGUUUGCCUUUCCACGCAAGUGGAAUCGCAGGGUAAUUACCGACGCUGGACGUCACCGA
This 374-nucleotide unclassified non-coding RNA is filed under the name Bromus diandrus var. rigidus. RNAcentral describes it as "partial external transcribed spacer". Lineage: Eukaryota; Viridiplantae; Streptophyta; Magnoliopsida; Poales; Poaceae. The record is from RNAcentral.